RNAcentral lists this ribosomal RNA (468 nucleotides) under uncultured bacterium. RNAcentral's name for it is "partial 16S ribosomal RNA". It matches the Rfam family "Bacterial small subunit ribosomal RNA", at positions 28 to 507 of the family's 1533-position model. The record is from RNAcentral.
GACGAACGCUGGCGGCGUGCUUAACACAUGCAAGUCGAACGGAAAGGCCCUGCUUUUGUGGGGUGCUCGAGUGGCGAACGGGUGAGUAACACGUGAGUAACCUGCCCUUGACGUUGGGAUAACUUCAGGAAACUGGUGCUAAUACCGGAUAGGAUCGGCUGCUGCAGGGGGGGGGUUGGAAAGUUUCGGCCGGUGGGGAUGGACUCGGGGGUGAUCAGCUUGGUGGUGGGGGAGUGGCUUACCAACGCUUUGACGGGUAGCCGGCCCGAGAGGUGGACCAGGCUCCUUAGUCCUACGGGACGCACCAGUCUCGUAUGGGGGGCAAUGGUCGGAAAUCUUGCCCAACCGGCCCACGCCUGAUGCGGAAGCCUCGCGUGCGUAAUGCCGGCCUUGUGGUUGUAAACCGCUUUAGCCUGUGACGAAGCGUUAGUGACGGUAACGGGUAAAGAAGCACCGGCUAACUACGUG